AGCUCAUCCUGUCUCGCGUUGCAGGGGGAAACUUUCUCUUUCCCUCUGGAACCACAAACCAGGCCACCGUGCUCCCAUUCCUCCCCCUCUGUCAGGCUCUCUCUCUCUCACUGUCUCUCUCUCUCAUUCUUUCUUGCAAAAGGCUGCAUUUCUCUACAGAUAAUAACAAUUUUAAUAAUGUACUUUAACAGAAGUUUUGAAUCCCCUGAGAGAGAACCCGGACUAGACUGGAGAUCAAUAAUUGAAAGCACACGUACAACACCAGCAGGCAUCUUAAAUAUCCACACCCAGUCGUCUCUCAGUCCGCGUCUUUGAGAGGACACAAAGUGAACACGUCCCUCUUUAUGUACAAGAAAGAAUCUCUGCUCCUCACUUUAAUGGUACAAAUGAAUGACGGGUGGCGUAAGUGUGUACGUACGCGUGUUUAUUAUCACGUGCAGACCGCAGGAUGCACACUGGGCUCAUUAAUGCAGCUCUUCAACAAUAAGCAGACCGUGCAAUGGCGGCUGCCAAUGCUAAUCGUCUCAGCUAGCCCGCCUCCCUCCAGCACCUUUGCCUGUAUAUGUGUGCCCCCCCCCCCCUCCGUUACACCCCACACUGGGACACUGAAGAGCUGUCGGCACACAGUUCCUGAUGGGAAAUGGAGGCACCGUAGUGGGAUUUUUGAGGAAUAGUUGUUUUUUUUCCAUCACAUUUAGAUCAAAUUUAUUUAAUGGUGGCUCCAGGAUGGGUUUUGCUAAAAGCAACAAUAUUUUAUAAUAAAUAUUAUAUUAUUAUUUGAGAACGGACAUAUCAUAUAAAAACUGAGUUAAUGGUAUAAUCAUGUCAGAGUUGGUCAGUGACAUUAAAGAUAUUACAGAGAUUGAUCUAAAAACAGUAAUGAGAGCAUCUCAUGAUAGCAUUUUGAAUUGAUCUCUUAAAUUAGGAGAAAAUGCUGAGUAACUUCUGCCAACGAUUGCAUCAGUUGGAGCCAACUGCCAAAUAAUUAUUGCAAAUCAUUUCAAAUUUGAGCCUUGUGGCUCAAAUUUGCCUUGCAGCCUUUACAAUCAUUUUUGUAAAGCCCUUUUAAUAAACGCACAACAUCUAAAAACAACUCAAAUGUGCCGCAGAGGUCAGGAGUUCGAGUGCUGUUCGGAGUAAUAGUUGUGAGGGAGAUCUCAGGCACAAUGAGACGAAGCGACCGAGAGAGAAAACACAAUGAGGAAAAAAUUGAGAGAUGGAGAAUAAUGGAAAGCAUGCGAGAGAAAACAAGAGAACGAGGAACAAAGAGAGAUGUGAGUCCGAAAAAAACGUGUCAAUGCCAGGCUUCCUUUAGGCAUGAGUGAGAGACUAUGAGGCCUGGUGGUGUGUGAAUGGUUUCGGCAACACACACACACACAUACACACACACACACACACACACACACACAAUCACUCACACAUUCACUCCCCC
Molecule: long non-coding RNA, 1432 nt
Organism: Gasterosteus aculeatus aculeatus (three-spined stickleback)
Lineage: Eukaryota; Metazoa; Chordata; Actinopteri; Perciformes; Gasterosteidae
Source: Ensembl